AUGUCGUCGGACAUCAGGAAAUGGUUCAUGAAGCCGCACGACAAGAAUGCCGGUGCGGCCAAGCCCUCUGCCGCCGGCGCCGCGCCGCCGGCGGCCAAGAAGCCCGUGCUCAGCAUCCCCGAGAAGGCUGCGACAUCUUCGGUGUCUGGCAAUCAAGAUGCUUCAGCUAGAAGGAAGACAAGCAAGUACUUUGCACCCAAAACAGAAAAAGAUGCAGAUGUUGCUGAGAAGAGUUCUUCUAAAAGAAAACUUCAGAAAAGCAGCGAGGACCUUGAGGAUGACAUCAAGCCUUUCGCAGCAAACAAGGCCCUUAAGGAUGAAGAAGACGACGACGACGACUUUGUGGCGCCUUCGAAAAAGAAAACUCCAGUGAAGCCACCACCAUUAAAGAAGUUGAAGGCUGCAUCUAAUGAUGAUGACCAGGACGAAAGGAUGGAUGAAGAUGCCGAGACCCCUUCCAAAGCAGCUGGAAGGGGAAGGGGAAGGGGAGGAAGAGGAGCAGGAGCAGCCCAUGGAAAGACUACGAGUCAUGAUGAUGGUGGUGGGGAGGACAGGAUGGAUGAAGAUGCUAAGACCCCUUCCAAAGCAGCUGGAAGGGGAAGAGGAAGGGGAAGGGGAAGGGUUGGAAGAGGAGGAGGAAUGGCUCAUGGGAAGACUACUAGUGGUCUUGAUGAUGAUGGUGAGGAGGAUAGGAUGGAUGAAGAUGACAAGACCCCUUCCAAAGCAGCUGCAAGGGGAAGAGGAGGCAGAGGAGCAGGAGCUACUCCUGGGGGAAGAGGUAGAGGAGGGGGUGGGAGAGGUUUCAUGAAUUUUGGUGAAAGGAAGGAUCCCCCUCACAAAGGGGAGAAGGAAGUCCCAGAGGGUGCCCCUGACUGUUUAGCUGGUCUGACAUUUGUCAUAAGUGGUACCCUUGACAGUCUUGAACGGGAGGAAGCAGGUGAUCUAAUAAAGCGUUACGGGGGACGUGUUACCGGUUCAAUUAGUAAAAAGACGAGUUACCUAUUGGCUGAUGAAGAUAUUGGGGGAGUGAAAUCUAAUAAAGCAAAAGAUCUGGGAGUCCCGUUCUUGACUGAAGAUGGUUUAUUUGAUAUGAUCCGGAAAUCAAAGCCUGCAAAGGCUCCUGUAAACAAACAUGAAGGUAACAGCAAUUCAGAAAAGCUACUGAAGUCACAGACGAAGAGCUCUCCAGUUAAAGCUGAAAGAAGAGCUGUCGAUCAAGUCGGUACCAUGGGCAAGAGUACUCCCUCAAAGAGUAAUAAAGAAAGCAACUCCACCAACAACCAAAAGGUCAAGGUUGUUGACCGCGGUUCUUUGCAAUGGACAGAGAAAUAUCGGCCAAAAGUUCCAAACGACAUAGUUGGCAACCAAUCAAUGGUUAAACAAAUUCAUGAUUGGUUGAAAAGUUGGGAGGAUCAAUUCCUUCAUUCUGGCCAAAAGGGCAAAGGAAAGAAGCAGGCUGAUGGUGGAGCUAAAAAAGCUGUAUUGCUGAGUGGACCUCCAGGUAUUGGUAAGACUACAACUGCAAAAGUUGUUAGUCAGAUGCUUGGAUUGCAGGCCAUUGAGGUUAAUGCAAGUGAUAGCCGUGGUAAAGCAGACUCCAAGAUCGAGAAAGGUGUUGGGGGGAGCACAUCAAAUUCUAUCAAAGAGCUUAUCAGCAAUGCUACUCUGAAUUAUAGUGACAACCGGACAAAGAAGCCUAAGGCUGUACUCAUCAUGGACGAAGUUGACGGUAUGUCUGCUGGUGAUAGAGGUGGAGUUGCUGAUCUUAUUGCCAGCAUCAAGAUAUCGAAGAUUCCUAUAGUUUGCAUUUGUAAUGAUCGUUAUAGCCAGAAGCUGAAGAGCCUUGUAAAUUACUGUUUGCUACUCAACUUCAGGAAACCAACAAAGCAGCAGAUGGGCAAGAGGUUGAUGGAGAUUGCCAGAAAAGAAGGCAUUCAAGCUCAAGAGAAUGCAAUGGAAGAGCUUGCAGAAAGAGUACAUGGGGAUAUUCGCAUGGCACUCAACCAUUUGCAAUAUAUGAGUCUCUCUCAGUCUGUGGUCAAAUAUGAUGAUAUAAGGUUGCGUCUUAAUAGUAGCUCAAAAGAUGAAGAUAUCUCUCCCUUCACGGCUGUGGACAAGCUAUUUGGUUUCAAUGGUGGGAGACUAAGGAUGGAUGAGAGAAUCGACUUGAGCAUGAGCGAUCCUGAUUUAGUUCCCCUUAUUAUCCAGGAAAAUUAUAUCAAUUAUCGGCCUAGUGCCGCUGGGAAGGAUGACAGUGGUGUUAAAAGAAUGAAUUAUCUUGCCCGUGCCGCUGAGUCUAUAGCGGACGGUGAUAUUGUUAAUGUGCAAAUAAGAAGAUAUCGACAGUGGCAGCUGUCCCAAGCUGCUUGUUUGGCUUCAUCAAUAGUACCUGCUGCUUUGAUGCAUGGAAAUAGAGAAGUCCUUGAAGCAGGUGAACGAAACUUUAAUAGGUUUGGUGGAUGGUUGGGCAAGUACUCAACUACUAACAAAAACAAAAGGCUACUGGAAGAUGUCCAUAGUCAUAUUCUUGCAUCACAGCAAGCUAAUUUGGAUAGGGAGGCGUUGAGGCUCGAUUAUCUCACUCUUCUCUUGAGACAGUUGACUGACCCACUGAAGACAAUGCCUAAGGAGGAGGCUGUCCAAAAGGUGGUGGAGUUUAUGGAUACCUACUCUUUAAGCCAGGAAGACUUUGACACGCUUGUUGAAUUAUCUAAAUUUAAGGGCCAUCCAAAUCCUAUGGAUGGUAUUCAACCAGCUGUCAAAAGUGCCUUGACGAAGGCAUACAAACAAGGAAGUAGCUCUCGUGUCGUUCGAUCAGCAGAUCUAAUAAAUAUUCCGGGCAUGAAAAAAACUUUAAAGAAACGAGUGGCAGCAAUCCUGGAGCCAUUGGAUGAGAGUUUGCCUGAAGAAACUGGAGUAGCAUCUGCAGAAGGUGAUGAAGAGGAAUUGUCUGAUGCUGAAAAUGAUGAUGAACUUGUGCCUGGUGACUCGAAGCCAAAACUGGACCUGCAGAGUGAUAAUAAGAAAGGAAUUCAAGUGCAGCUCAACCUGAAGAGCAAUGGCAACGGGUCGAGCGCAAAGAAGGCGCCAGCAGCAAGAUCAAAAGCUCCUGGGUCUGCAGGGAAGGCUGUCGGAGGCUCAGGCGGGAAGCGGAAGAGGUAG
Molecule: ribosomal RNA, 3162 nt
Filed under: Triticum aestivum (bread wheat)
Lineage: Eukaryota; Viridiplantae; Streptophyta; Magnoliopsida; Poales; Poaceae
Description: partial small subunit ribosomal RNA
Source: RNAcentral